Long non-coding RNA from Equus caballus (horse), 2665 nucleotides. NCBI's taxonomy places the organism in Eukaryota, Metazoa, Chordata, Mammalia, Perissodactyla, Equidae. The record is from Ensembl.
CACCGCUCUGCUCCGGGAGCAGGUCUCCUGGGCCGGCGCGUCCCGCGGGCCAAGCCCUCGGUCGGAGUCGGAGGCGGGGUUCGAUUCCACCGCUCAGCCGCCGGCUGGACGCACCGCGAGUUCCCGCUCUCCGCGCCUGCGCGGUAAACAUGCAGAGGAGUUCGGCACCCGCCGGCAGGCCGAGCGCCGACGUCCCGCCCUCCCGGAGGGGCUGGGCGCCCGAUCCCUCCUUCCCCUAGCUCCAGGCACCCGGCAGAAGUGCUCGGGAGCUGUUCCUCGAUGCGGCUGCACGGCGUCCCGAUGUAUCAUGGAAGCAGCUUAAGACGGGAGUGGGAAGGGCAAAAACAUGCUCCAGACACAUCAACCAAGAUAAACUCUUGAAAUUUUGCUAUAGGAUUGAUCUGGGAUGGGCAUUUUGACAGUUCCUGCCAAUGAGAGGGAAGUAUAGUCAGCCAGGGGCUUCUGGGAAAGAUGGUAUGGAAGAUCUCUUUUGCCCUUUCUUUCCUGCCUGUAACACUGCUAUAUGAGGUAUAAUGUUGGAGCUGCCUCAGCCAUCUGGUGAUUUGAAGGGAGACUGAGGAUGACUGAGCAGAAAGAAAGAAAGAGACACUGCACCGUGCCGGGAUUGUCUUCAUGCAGACUGUUGAAAAAUAGAUCUCAGAAAAUGUUUUUGGUCUUCAGAGAUGAUUAAGAUGAAGUCAUCGGGUGGGCCCUAAUCCAAUAGGACUGUGUGUUUAUAAAAUGGGGAGAUUUGGACACAGAAACACACACACACACACACUGGGAGAACGCCAUGUGAAGAUGAAGGCAGAGAUUGGACUGAUGCUUCUACAAACCAAGGAACGCCAAAAACUGCCAGCAAACCACCAGGAGCUAGGAGAGAGGCGUGGAACAAAGGCUCCCUCACAGCUGUCAAGAGAACCAGGCUGCCAACACCCUGAUCUUGGACUUCUAACCCCAGAGCUGUGAUACAACAAAUAGCUGUUGUUUAAGCCACACAGUUUGUGGUAGUCGCAGUCCUACAGACUAAAAUACCAGGUAGUCAAGAAGUAGAAACGCAGCAGAUAGAAUAAAUAACUCAGCAGUCUUAAAUUUUUGACUUGGGAGAACCAUUAUGUUUGUUUAUUAAUAACAUUAAUUUCAGUCUUUUUUCAAAAAAUUUUUUUAUUGUGGUCUAAAUAGUUUAUAACAUUGUGAAAUUUCAGCAAUACAUUAAUAUUUGUCAAACACCAUAUAAGUGUGCCCCUGCACUCCUUGUGCCCACCUUCCCCCUCCUUUCCUCUGGUAACCACUAAAUUGUUCUCUUUGUCUGAAGGUUGUUUAUAUCCCACAUGUGAGUGAAAUCAUACGGUGUUUGUCUUUCUCUAUCUGGCUUAUUUUGCUUGACAUGAUGCCCUCAAGGUCCAUCCAUGUGGCUGUGAAUGGGACAAUUAUGUCUUUUCUUAUGGCUGAGUAGUAUUCCAUUGUAUAUAUAUACACACACCACAUCUUCUUUACCCGCUGGGCACUUGGGUUGCUGCCACAUCUUGGCUAUUGUGAAUAAUGCUGCAAUGAACAUAGGGGUACAUAAGUCUCUUUGUAUUAGUGAUUUCAAGUUCUUUGGAUAAAUACCCAGUAGUGGGAUAGCUGGGUCAUAUGGUAAUUCUGUUUUUAAUUUUUUGAGAAAUCUCCAUACUGUUUUCCAAAGUGGCUGCACCAGUUUGCAUUCUCACCAGCAGUGGAUGAGGGUUCUCUUUUCUUCACAACCUCUCCAACAUUUAUUAUUUUUUGUCUUGAUGAUUAUAGCCAUUCUAAAUGGGUGUACGGUGAUAUCUAAGUGUAGUUUUGAUUUGCAUCCCCUGAUGAUUAGUGAUCUUUUCAUGUGCCUAUAGCCAUUUGUAUAUCUUCUUUGGAAAAAUGUCUGUUCAUAUCCUCUGCCCACUUUUUGAUUGGGUUGUUUAUUCUUUUGUAGUUCAAUUGUGUUAGUUGUUUAUGUAUAGUGGAGAUUAACCCUUUAUUGGAUUUAUGAUUAGCAAAUAUUUUCUCCCAGUUGUUGGGUUGUUUUUUCAUUUUGAUCUUGGUUUCUUUUGCCUUGCAGAAGCUCUUUAGUAUGAUAAAGUCCCACUUGUUUAUUUUUUCUUUUGUUUCCCCUGUCUGAGUGGACAUCAACAUUAACUUCAUUCUUAACAUGAAUUUUUUGCCUUAAUAAGUUCCUGCAAUUAAAGCAACACAAAGGGGCCAGCCCGGUGGCACAGUGGUUAAGUUCGCACAUUCCACUUCUUGGCAGCCCGGGGUUCACUGGUCUGGAUCCUGGGUGCGGACAUGGCACUGCUUGGCAAAAGCCAUGCUGUGGUAGGCAUCUCAUGUAUAAAGUAGAGGAAGAUGGGCACGGAUGUUAGCUCAGGGCCAGUCUUCCUCGGCAAAAAAGAGGAGGAUUGGCAGUAGUUAGCUCAGGGCUAAUCUUCCUGAAAAAAAAAUAAAAGCAAAACAAAGCUACACCGAAUAGUAAUCUGAUACCAGAAAUUCGAGAAACUAUUCAACAUGAAUAGUAAGGAGAGAGGAUUGAACUCCACAAAUAAACUCUGCUCCAAAAGUAACAUCCUAGUGACCAGAGAUUUAAUUUAAAGAAGCUUAGCAAAAAUAUUUAAAUAAUUUAAGAACAUACUAAUUCCCUAAAUAAAUUAUA